GCCCAUGUUUUUAAAAAUAUGUCCAAGCCCAUGUCUUUAAGUCUUUUAACUCUUUUAAGUGUUAAGUGUAAACCUACUAACAGAAGCUCACGUUAGAGUCUAAUGUCUUUAACUUAAAUUAUUAGACAGAGGUUGUAGAUUUGGAGGUUCCUAUAGAAGAUACUUCAGUAACAUCAGCAUUUGCUGCAACUCAAGCACAUGGUAAUGCCCUAAUACUUCUUCCGUGGGUAGUCCUCCUAAAAAGUAGAAAAGAACAACUCCUUGUAGUCAAGGCCCUAGCCUUGGGAUAAUGAUAGAAAAACAUCUGAAGUUUGGGAUCAUUACGCAAAGUUUUUUCAAUAAAAUGGGAGAACUGAGGGAAAAAUGCUAGUAUUGCCCCAAAGUUUGGGAUCAUUACACAAUUUUUUUUUA
This is a long non-coding RNA of Lycium ferocissimum, 411 nucleotides long. RefSeq lists it as uncharacterized. The record is from RefSeq and is a predicted model, not a curated record. The transcript has 2 exons. NCBI's taxonomy places the organism in Eukaryota, Viridiplantae, Streptophyta, Magnoliopsida, Solanales, Solanaceae.